Molecule: ribosomal RNA, 253 nt
Filed under: uncultured bacterium
Lineage: Bacteria
Description: partial 16S ribosomal RNA
Rfam family: Bacterial small subunit ribosomal RNA
Source: RNAcentral
UACGUAGGGCGCAAGCGUUGUCCGGAAUUAUUGGGCGUAAAGAGCUCGUAGGUGGCUUGUCGCGUCUGUCGUGAAAGCCCGGGGCUUAACUCCGGGUCUGCGGUGGAUACGGGCAGGCUAGAGGCAGGUGGGGGAGAAUGGAAUUCCCGGUGUAGCGGUGAAAUGCGCAGAUAUCGGGAGGAACACCGGUGGCGAAGGCGGCAAACUGGUCCUUGACUGACGCUGAGGCGCGAAAGCGUGGGGAGCAAACAGG